ACUGCUCAGUAACACGUGGAUAACCUGCCCAAGGGUCUGGGAUAACCCCGGGAAACUGGGGAUAAUACCGGAUGGAUCACUAGUGCUGGAAUGCUUGGUGGUUUAAAGGCAACGCCUUUGGAUGGGUCUGCGGCGGAUUAGGUUGACGCCGGUGUAACGUACCGGCGUGCCUGUAAUCCGUACGGGUUGUGGGAGCAAGAGCCCGGAGAUGGAUUCUGAGACACGAAUCCAGGCCCUACGGGGCGCAGCAGGCGCGAAAACUCUACAAUGCAGGCAACUGCGAUAGGGGGACAUCGAGUGGCAUCCACCUUGGGUGCCUGUCCAACCGUCUAAAAAACGGUUGUUAGCAAGGGCCGGGUAAGACCGGUGUCAGCCGCCGCGGUAAUACCGGCGGCUCGAGUGGUGGCCGAUAUUAUUGAGUCUAAAGGGUCCGUAGCCGGCUUUGCAAGUCCCCUGGGAAAUCCAGCGGCUUAACCGUUGGGCUUUCAUGGGAUACUACAUUGCUUGGGACUGGGAGAGGUAGGAGGUACUCGGGGGGUAGGGGUGAAAUCCUGUAAUCCUCCGGGGACCACCGGUGGCGAAGGCGUCCUACCAGAACAGGUCCGACGGUGAGGGACGAAAGCUAGGGGCACGAACCGGAUUAGAUACCCGGGUAGUCCUAGCCGUAAACGAUGCCCGCUAGGUGUCACGUCGGUCGUGAAUCGUCGUGGUGCCGUAGGGAAGCCGCGAAGCGGGCCACUUGGGAAGUACGGCCGCAAGGCUGAAACUUAAAGGAAUUGGCGGGGGAGCAC
RNAcentral lists this ribosomal RNA (791 nucleotides) under uncultured archaeon. RNAcentral's name for it is "bacterial SSU rRNA". It matches the Rfam family "Archaeal small subunit ribosomal RNA", at positions 85 to 879 of the family's 1478-position model. The record is from RNAcentral.